This 744-nucleotide ribosomal RNA is filed under the name uncultured bacterium. RNAcentral's name for it is "bacterial SSU rRNA". It matches the Rfam family "Bacterial small subunit ribosomal RNA", at positions 33 to 773 of the family's 1533-position model. The record is from RNAcentral.
ACGCUGGCGGCAGGCCUAACACAUGCAAGUCGAGCGGUAGAGAGAAGCUUGCUUCUCUUGAGAGCGGCGGACGGGUGAGUAAUGCCUAGGAAUCUGCCUGGUAGUGGGGGAUAACGUUCGGAAACGGACGCUAAUACCGCAUACGUCCUACGGGAGAAAGCAGGGGACCUUCGGGCCUUGCGCUAUCAGAUGAGCCUAGGUCGGAUUAGCUAGUUGGUGGGGUAAUGGCUCACCAAGGCGACGAUCCGUAACUGGUCUGAGAGGAUGAUCAGUCACACUGGAACUGAGACACGGUCCAGACUCCUACGGGAGGCAGCAGUGGGGAAUAUUGGACAAUGGGCGAAAGCCUGAUCCAGCCAUGCCGCGUGUGUGAAGAAGGUCUUCGGAUUGUAAAGCACUUUAAGUUGGGAGGAAGGGUUGUAGAUUAAUACUCUGCAAUUUUGACGUUACCGACAGAAUAAGCACCGGCUAACUCUGUGCCAGCAGCCGCGGUAAUACAGAGGGUGCAAGCGUUAAUCGGAAUUACUGGGCGUAAAGCGCGCGUAGGUGGUUAGUUAAGUUGGAUGUGAAAUCCCCGGGCUCAACCUGGGAACUGCAUUCAAAACUGACUGACUAGAGUAUGGUAGAGGGUGGUGGAAUUCCCUGUGUAGCGGUGAAAUGCGUAGAUAUAGGAAGGAACACCAGUGGCGAAGGCGACCACCGGACUGAUACUGACACUGAGGUGCGAAAGCGUGGGGAGCAAAC